RNAcentral lists this transfer RNA (80 nucleotides) under Vicugna pacos (alpaca). Its description in RNAcentral is "tRNA-Ala (AGC) (tRNA-Ala-AGC-645-1)". The stretch from base 14 to 74 matches the Rfam family "tRNA", at positions 6 to 65 of the family's 71-position model. From Rfam's summary of the family: Transfer RNA (tRNA) molecules are approximately 80 nucleotides in length. Their secondary structure includes four short double-helical elements and three loops (D, anti-codon, and T loops). Lineage: Eukaryota; Metazoa; Chordata; Mammalia; Artiodactyla; Camelidae. The record is from RNAcentral.
GGGGGUAGGAUAUUAUAGCUCAGUGGUAGAGCGCAUGCUUAGCAUGCAUGAGAUCCUGGGUUCAAUCCCCAGUACCUCCA